CCUACGGGAGGCAGCAGUGGGGAAUUUUGGACAAUGGGGGCAACCCUGAUCCAGCAAUGCCGCGUGAGUGAAGAAGGCUUUCGGGUUGUAAAGCUCUUUUGUCAGGAAAGAAAUCGCACCGGCUAAUACCUGGUGUGGAUGACGGUACCUGAAGAAUAAGCACCGGCUAACUACGUGCCAGCAGCCGCGGUGAUACGUAGGGUGCAAGCGUUAAUCGGAAUUACUGGGCGUAAAGCGUGCGCAGGCGGUUGUGCAAGACAGAUGUGAAAUCCCCGGGCUCAACCUGGGAACUGCAUUUGUGACUGCACGGCUAGAGUGUGUCAGAGGGGGGUAGAAUCCCACGUGUAGCAGUGAAAUGAGUAGAUAUGUGGAGGAAUACCGAUGGCGAAGGCAGCCCCCUGGGAUAACACUGACGCUCAUGCACGAAAGCGUGGGGAGCAAACAGGAUUAGAUACCCUGGUAGUCCACGCCCUAAACGAUGUCAAAUAGUUGUCGGGUCUUAAUUAAGUUGGAACGCAGCCAGCGCGUGAAGUUGACCUCCUGAGGAGUACAAUCACAAGAUUAACACUCUAAGGAAUGACGG
RNAcentral lists this ribosomal RNA (583 nucleotides) under uncultured bacterium. RNAcentral describes it as "bacterial SSU rRNA". It matches the Rfam family "Bacterial small subunit ribosomal RNA", at positions 338 to 916 of the family's 1533-position model. The record is from RNAcentral.